UCUCUACUCUUUCCAGAGAUUGCAGUGGCCAGUGCCUGGACACCCCCGAAAGUCCCAGGCCUGGUCCAGCUGUCCCAGGGAAUUGGGAGGCGGGGUGGUGGUGGGAGGGGGAGCUGUUGACGCCACCUCCCAAAGUGGUGUCUCUCUCAUUGACCAGCCGUAUUGGGUGGGGGAGGUUUUUAAAAUCUGUGUUCUAAACAUCCAGGUAAUCACUGAAACAGCCCGAUGGCUGUGCAGGGCAAUCCUUUCAUCCUGCCCUCAGGUUGAGGCUGGGAAAGAAGUGGCAGGACUCAGCGUGAUUUCGUGCUCUAGUUUUCUUGAACCUGGGAACUGUUGCAGCCUCAGCAGGGACCUUGCCGUCAACGUUGGCAGUGCCCAGCCUUUGCGUGGUCGAGGUCUGAGGGCCAGAUACCCUCCUCGCGCCCGCCCUGCCUUCCCUCCAGGCUCCAGGUCCAGGAGCCUGCCCGGAGGGUCCACCAUGCCUGGGUCCAUGCAGAGUGUGGCAGCAGGGAGAUUGGGGCCGGGUGUUCAUUCCCUGCCUCCUGCGGCUUGGCUGCACCCCAAAAAGCCCAUCACGGGCACCUUCAGACUUUACUGUUAUUGGCUCAAUAAUGGCCCCCAAAGAUGCCCACAUCCUAAUCCCAGAUCCUGGGAAUAUGUUCCCUGGUGAUAUUUACAUGCAGACGUGACUGAGCAGGUGAGUAAGUGAAGGCUCUUGAGAUGGGAGUGGCCCGGGGUUGUCCCGGUGGCUCAGUGUCAUCCCAGGGUCCUUGAAGAGGGAGGCGGGGGGCUCACAGGAGGAGGAGGUGUGAGAAGGAACACAGAGUCAGAGAGAAAUGGAAAGAGGCUGCGCUGCUGGCCUGGAAGGUGGAGGAAGGGCCAUGAGCCGAGGAGUGCAACGGCCUCAGAGGCCACAAAGGUAAGAAAAGGACCCUCCCCUGGAGGUCCCAGGAGGAACCGGCCCUCACACACCCUGAUUUUAGCCCAGCGAGGUGUGUGCCAGACUUCUGACCUCCAGAGCUGACAGAGCUGUGAGCCUGUGGUCAUCUCGUCGCAGCCCCGUGGCACUGACACACCUGUCCUCUGUGGAUUCCAAGAAAGGACACCACCCCAGUCCCACCCCAGCCUUCAGGCUUAGGGCGAUGGGGCUUCUCUUUCACAGGGUCCUCGGUCCCUUCACACAGGUUCCCUGAGCCCCGCCCAAACCUUUUCAGCACUGUGAAGCCCUCCUCCAGGUGCUGUCUCCCUCCUGCUGGGCUCUGACCGAUGUGGUCCUGUUCCUCCCGUUUGGGCAACAGUGUUGCCUUCCCCUGCUAUCCUGGAAGUCCCCCAGGCAAUGCCAUCCAUGGGUUCUGAUGAGCAUGAACCAACUGGCAUGACCACCAGGAGCCACCGUCUCUCCAGCCCGGGAAGGGCUUGCGUGUGUUGGGGGAGGGGAGGGCACGUGCGGCUGGUCUGAGGUUUUCUCCCGUGUGACAUGUCAGAUUCCCAGGACUUUUAGAGUUCCAGCCGUGUGUCCUGGGUCCCUUCGCCAGAGCCUACACCAAAGGCUCUGGCCCAUGGCACCUGGCACUCACCGUCCCCAGCAUGCUGACAGCUCCCGCUGUGAGAGCCCGGGCCUCUGCCAGGCAGCUUGCUCCCUGUCCACAGGAGAGGCCACGGGGCCAGGGAGGGAGGCCAUGGGAGCAGCCGCUUCAGCAGCGGGUGGGGACUGCGGGACAGAUGCCCACUCCUUGGUACGUUCCAUGUUCCACUCCUCUAGGGGGGGUCCCCGGAGGCUCAGAGCCCAGUUACCCACAGCGACACCUGCUCAUCAGCCCUCAUAAGCUCCUUUCCCGCCCGACUUGCCCACUCCUUGGUGCGUUCCACUCUCUGGCGGGAGAGGGGGCGUCCCCGGAGGCUCAGAGCCCAGUUACCCACAGCGACACCUGCUCAUCAGCCCUCAUAAGCUCCUUUCCCACCCGACUUGCCCACUCCUUGGUGCGUUCCACGUUCCGCUCCUCUAGGGGAGUCCCCAGAGGCUCAGAGCCCAGUUACCCACAGUGACCCCUGCUCAUCAGCCCUUAUCAGCUCCUUUCCUGCCUGACUUGCCCACUCCCCAGGGCUGCCUGGGGUCACCCCCAAAUCUUGCUCCCAAGGCCUGCCUCUGGGGGCCCAGGCCCAGAGGCCAGAGGCCGCCUCAGCAAUCCUGAAGCAGACAGCAGACGGCAGCCUCGGAUCAGCCCUUUCUGGCUGUUUCCAGGCUCCAGCUGAAGGUGGAAGGGUGGUUCUGCUGUGUUCUCUCUUCCUUGGAAUUUCUGGGAAAACCACGAGCGGGACUAGAACCCAAAAUCUUCAUUCCAUCGUCAAUGAAAGCCAAAGACACCUGGACCUUGGAAACAGUCUGAGCCUUCCUGAUGGAGAGCAGAUGAGGACCGGAGGGAAAGGGACACUGGACUUUGGAAACAGUCUGAGCCUUCCCGAUGGAGAGUGGAUGAGGACCGGACAGAAAGGGCCCUGAGAAAGUAGGCUGCUGCCCUGGAUCCCAGACCCAACCAGAGUGGCACAGAGUCCUCCAGAACAGAGCGCGCCCCCGGGAGAGCCACUGGCCCCGUGCCCCUGGGAGAGCCACCGGCCCUGCUGCACCUGCUGGGGGGUCCCUGCUGUUCACCCUCCCUGGGCUCCUGGACCACAGCGGGGCAGAGUGGAGGAGGAGGUGUGCACAGAGGCACCAUUGUUGUGGGAAGCAGUUUGUUGGUGAGGAGGGAGCUGCGGUCCUGCAUGACAUCCACACGCGUGACAUCCACACGCGUGACAUCCACACGUGUGACAUCCACACGCGUGACAUCAGCACACACGCACACAUUCAUCAUUCAGACAGGACUAGCACAAGCACCGCACGUAAUGACCACAGAGGGUCUUGGCAGGAACGGAAAACAAGCUGCCUCCAACCUCGUGCAGCCUCUUUUUCCUCCAGAUCAUCGUUAAGUCCUCCCAGGGCUGGUGUGCCCGAGAAGCAGGAGGGUUCCCGAGAGCAGCUUUUUACUCCCAGGAGUGGCAGGUUCCUGCCGCCUGACGGGCUGCUCGCGGAGGAGGCUGGAGCCAGCACAAAUGCCAUGUCUUGUCAAGAUCUUCACUAGAGUCUCUCCGGUUGUUUUUUUUCUCGAGAAAAAUAUUGGAAAAUUGGUGAAAAUAUUUACAUCGAUUUUAUCUCUUUAUCUUGGUUUGACUUUUUUAUUCUCCUUUAAGUUGAUUCAUUUUUAGUGAAGUGCAAAAUAAAUUCUCAUGUUUGAAGUUUUGGAAAAGUCUGCAGUCCCGGGGAGGUGAUGGGUUAAAUGCUGUUUGUUGACCGUGGACUGCAGAUGGCUCAGCUCUUACCUUGACAAGGACGGUGAGGACGGCAGAUAUGGGUGCCCGGCUGCUGUGCCUCCCUCCCCGCCUGGCUUCUGCCCGAUGCUGCUGCUGAGCCCCCACAUUGCCUCACCAGACCCCGUCCACCCAGACACUGGGAGCCCAUGGCCAAACUGGUGUGUGUUGCAUUAAAAAUAAAAG
Molecule: long non-coding RNA, 3531 nt
Filed under: Homo sapiens (human)
Lineage: Eukaryota; Metazoa; Chordata; Mammalia; Primates; Hominidae
Description: HSALNT0235254
Source: RNAcentral